CCAAUCACCUCACCCUCACGCACCUCUCAAGUCACAAUCCCAAAAGAUAAAGGUAACGAUUAUCCUCUUUUUGACAUACUCUCUUGCAGCAGUCAGUGAUACGUAAGGAUGUACAAGAUGAUGAAAAAGAGAAGGCAUUCUUAAAAUCUAGUUUAAAACACACGUAUCUCUCUCUCUCUCUCUCUCUCUCUCCCUAUGCAAUGUACUCAUUUCUGUAAUUUAACUUGUAGUGGUUAGUGCUGCAUUUGGUUUAUUAAUCCUGCGGAAAAUUGGUGUCAACUUUAUGCAUAAGAACUGUAUUUGAAUCCAGUUUAAACUAUAUGAUCAUGUCAAAUAGGUUCUUCUGACUCAUCCAACAACACGCAAUCCACUACUCCUACUCCUGCCUUACAUACAGGUUCAGGAGACGAAGUCACUCAGUCAGACUCCUCCACUCUCACGACUGCAUCAAACACACCUGCAAAUGCCACUGAAGAUAUAUCUGACGUCACCUCAUCAAACAAUUAUUCUCUCAUGCACAAUCUCUCACACU
RNAcentral lists this long non-coding RNA (532 nucleotides) under Sinocyclocheilus grahami. Its description in RNAcentral is "lncRNA (ENSSGRG00000032816.1)". Lineage: Eukaryota; Metazoa; Chordata; Actinopteri; Cypriniformes; Cyprinidae. The record is from RNAcentral.